GGAUUGCCUUGAGUACACCCUCACAGCGCUGCUCGUGGGGCAAGCAUGCCUGGGAGAUGACCUGGGGCACCACGCCCUGCCUAUCUCAGACAAGGAACUCCAGGCAGCAGUGGCGAAGCUAAGCAGCUCCAUCCUUAAGGGGCGGAGGCCGGCUCAUAUUUGCCUAUUAGGGCCGUGGGACGCCGAGGUUCUGCUGGGUCCCUCCUGGAAAUAGAUCCUUCCCAGCCAGCACCCGAAGUCAGCAGCAGAGGGCAAAGCACCUGGGCUUUAUUUAGCUCCAAGCUCCACGAUCCUCCUGGGACUGAGAUAUCUUUGUCAUUUACCUGGGAUUUACAGGGACCAAAAAGCUGGACAUCAUUCACCACUGGGAACAGCAUAUUGUUCCUGGAAGAGGCAAAAGCCUAGGGCUUCAAGAUGCCGGGGCUUUAAGAAACCAAGGCAUGACCUCAAGUGAUUUGCCGGAGGUGGCCUCGGUGGCAGCAGUCAUUGAAGAAAGGAAGACAGCUGCCCAGCCAGUCUGACAGACCAUACACAGACAGCCCUGUUCACAGGGAGGUAAGUGUCUCUGCACAACCCGCGGCCACCACGGCGGCUUCAGGAAAGGCUCCCACAUUCCCAGAGCCUCUGCUGCGGCUCACUGACAAAUCAGCCCCUCAAUAAUCUUAUUGUAUGUUUUCAAAAUAAUUCUCAGUAAUGCCCCAAGAA
This 705-nucleotide long non-coding RNA is filed under the name Homo sapiens (human). RNAcentral describes it as "long intergenic non-protein coding RNA 2057". Lineage: Eukaryota; Metazoa; Chordata; Mammalia; Primates; Hominidae. The record is from RNAcentral.